Molecule: ribosomal RNA, 171 nt
Filed under: Escherichia coli 1-176-05_S4_C2
Lineage: Bacteria; Pseudomonadati; Pseudomonadota; Gammaproteobacteria; Enterobacterales; Enterobacteriaceae
Description: partial 16S ribosomal RNA
Source: RNAcentral
CGCCGUUUACCGGGGCUUCGAUCAAGAGCUUCGCUUGCGCUAACCCCAUCAAUUAACCUUCCGGCACCGGGCAGGCGUCACACCGUAUACGUCCACUUUCGUGUUUGCACAGUGCUGUGUUUUUAAUAAACAGUUGCAGCCAGCUGGUAUCUUCGACUGAUUUCAGCUCCA